CCGCGCCCGGCCGUUUCCUUUUUAUUAAGUCUACAAGUUUUCCUUUGAUUACUGCUUUAGUGUUAUCGUAUGGAGUCCGCUACAGAGCAGACUUCAAAAAUCUUUGCAUCAGGCCUUUCACACAUCAACCAAUGAGCAUCUGAGUUGUUUCCAGACGGAGUUUCUCUCCUGUUGCCCAGGCUGGAGUGAAACGACAUUAUCUUGGCUCACUGCAACCUCCACAUCCUGGGUUCAAGCGAUUCUCCUGCCUCAGCCUCCUGAGUAGCUGGGGUUACAGGCACCAGCCACCACGCCCAGCUAAUUUUUUGUAUUUUUAGUACAGAUGGGAUUUCACUAUGUUGGUCAAGUUGGUCUUGAACUCCUGACCUCAGGCGAUCCACGCUCCUCGGCCUUCCAGAGUGCUGGGAUUACAGGCGUGAACCACUGCGCCCGGCUCACGAUGUUAAUCUUUACUCAAUUUCAUGUUUCCCCUCUAUAGGAAUAUUACAUUCCUGGCUUCAUUUAUUAAAUACCCCCAACUCUCCUCUGAUCUGGCAUAACCCUCUGUCGAUAUACCAGAGUUUAUAUAUGUAUGGGCUUUUUAAAUGAAC
Molecule: long non-coding RNA, 590 nt
Filed under: Homo sapiens (human)
Lineage: Eukaryota; Metazoa; Chordata; Mammalia; Primates; Hominidae
Description: HSALNT0103123
Source: RNAcentral